UUUAUUGGAGAGUUUGAUCCUGGCUCAGGAUGAACGCUGGCGGCGUGCCUAAUACAUGCAAGUCGAGCGAAUGGAUUAAGAGCUUGCUCUUAUGAAGUUAGCGGCGGACGGGUGAGUAACACGUGGGUAACCUGCCCAUAAGACUGGGAUAACUCCGGGAAACCGGGGCUAAUACCGGAUAAUAUUUUGAACUGCAUGGUUCGAAAUUGAAAGGCGGCUUCGGCUGUCGCUUAUGGAUGGACCCGCGUCGCAUUAGCUAGUUGGUGAGGUAACGGCUCACCAAGGCAACGAUGCGUAGCCGACCUGAGAGGGUGAU
This 316-nucleotide ribosomal RNA is filed under the name Bacillus thuringiensis. Its description in RNAcentral is "bacterial SSU rRNA". It matches the Rfam family "Bacterial small subunit ribosomal RNA", at positions 1 to 304 of the family's 1533-position model. Lineage: Bacteria; Bacillati; Bacillota; Bacilli; Caryophanales; Bacillaceae. The record is from RNAcentral.